UCAUUGACUGUAUAUAAGAACAGUCAACGAUUUGAGUAAACAUCAUUCAGGAUGCUUUUAUUAUGAAAGGAAUUCCCGGAAGUCAACAUGAUGAGCGAACUUGACAGCUGCUCUAGUGUUCCAGGAAAGUGAGGGAGAAUUCAUGCUUCCUAUGUUUUAGUAGAAGUCGUUAGAGUGAAGGUGUUGACCGAGAUGCCGGCUAGACUGGAUCGGAACCGGAAGUUCUGAAGCCUUUAUUUCCUGUCUUCCCCGUCCCGAUGUCAACACCCCCGUCCCCCAACGUGGCGCUCUCAGAGACCCCUCCAGAGAGGAGCCAGAAGUCCUGACCUCGACCCAGUGAACUCACAGGUGAUUGGCCCGGCCGAGCUGUUUGGGCAACAGAACCACGUUGUGAUGGAUCAGCCAUCUGGGAUCUUGGGGGAAAUACAACCUCAGGAUGUGUCCCCCUCUGAUAUCCCUCCUGUGAUCGACCUGCCCGGGAAGCCAGAGGAAUGCUCCACCGCUCAGGAUGCUCUGCAGUCGGUCAGGAGCUCUAGUUGGUGCCCAAACACCAGUGAUCCUGGAUUGCAGUUCUCAGACAGCAGCUCGUCAGAUAUUGCUAUUCAACCAAGAGAUCAGAAUCAACUGAAUAAUACUUUGUCCCAUACUACAGUCACCCUCUCCUACAUAAGCAGGUCUCACGUGUUCUCCAGUAACUGUGUGUCUCAGCCUUCACCUUUGUUCAACAUACCACCUAUCAGCAAGCUCUCUCUCCACUCCCACUGUGGCUCUGAAAGUCACCUCAGCAUUACUGAUUAUUCAAAGGAGCAGGUUCAAGAGACCAAAUACCUUCCAACACAGAAAGAGCGCUUGUUGCCUCAGGGUCAAGCAGGACAAGCGUGCAGGGCAGGAGGAUGUGUGACACAGCAGUAUCUGGAGUUAAAUGGUGAUGGCUUUAGAAAAGAGUCUGUAUCAGAUGUGGAGAACCAAUGCCGCUUUCUGAAAGACUGCAAGAGUCUGGAAAAUGAUGAUCCUGACAGCCGGUUGCUCUCUGAAGGACAAUCCUCUCCAGUGACUCUGACCUCUGUCACAACAGAGAAGGGUGAGAAUGGGGCCUCUGAGGUGCCCGUCUUUUCUGAGAAGCAGAGCUGCAUGGUGACUUCAGAGAACACAGAUGUUCAGAACUUGUGCAGAGACUAUAGGAGUCCUUUGGAGGACCCUGUUUCCCCUUCCUCUACCUCACUGGAUGGUGUGGAGGAUGUAUUUGUCCUUCCUCAGACCUCCAGUUCUCCCAGUGCUGACAAUUCCCAUCUCGAAACUGCUAACGGGGGGGCAUAUGAUGCAUUGAGCACUGGCAUCAGUGAUGACACCACAGGGCUGGACUCAAGUGAGAAUGAACAGCCUGAUUUUACUGUCAGUGAGUGUAGGUUGGAUGUUUCUGAAAACCACCAGAAUCAUGUCGUUCCACAUGUUAAUGGGAAAGACAAUGUGCUUGAAAAAAGGCUAAAACAAAGGAAGCUUCCAGUACGUGCUGGAAGAGGGGUGCAGCUGGAGAAAAUAGUCAUGGACAUAAAAUCAAGUCCAUCUAAUAUAUCAGGAUGCGCACUCAGCAAUCAAACAAACGGUGCCUCCCAUUCAACUAUAUUCAAUUCCACCAUAAGCAGUCCAAAAGCAAAACGUGUUCCACCCAUUUACAAAACAGAGAGCAAAUCCUCUCGAAAACGACAGGCAUCACAGAUGAAAAGGAGUAGAUCUGGAGAUGUCUCUACCUCUGCUUCUGAACUCAACAAGACAAAAGCAUCCAUCUGCAGUGUAGCCUGGAAACUUCCGCUGGUUGGAAUGGCACAGAAGAAACCUGUUCUUCCACUGCGGACCAGUACCGUCCAGUGCAGGAGGAAAACCCCCCCACAGUCUGGCCUUCAGACUGCUGCCAACAGGAACUCCAAAAGAGCUCCCCAACUGCUUUCCCAGUCUGGGGUUUCAGCAGAAGUCACCGUGCCGAGUCUUUCUUUGCCACAGCCAGAAUCGCCAAAGAACCAGGACAACACCAAAAGCAGGGAAGUCCCCCCCGCUAGCAAGAAAAAAGUGUCCCACACACCAAAACGAAGGCGAAGGAAAACCAAACCAAGCCAUACUUACUCCAUGUUUUCCCCCAAGGAGCCUGAGAUCAAGCUGAAGUAUGUCGGCUACAAGGAGGAGAAAAGGGACUCAAAGUUGGACUUGUUUUCUCCCUUUAUUCGAGUGGAGCAAAAACAGUCGUUGCCGUCACUAUGCUCGGUCAUUAACUACCCAGAGGAGGUGAAGGUGCAGCAGAAGCUGCAGCUGCACACCAACACCUGCGGCUUUGUUUCUGCAGUCAUGCCCAGCACCUCCUGCCUUCACCUGGGUCGGCCGUCCAUCCACAGCCAGCACCAGCGGGCCUUCAUCUGCUGCUUGUGUGGACACCCAGCUAACGCCAUGGACCUGGGUGACCUGCACGGACCGUAUUACCCUGAAGGGCUCAGACCUAGCUCCAAAACAGCCACCAGCACCUCAGGUCUCAAGGAGGAAGAGGAGGAUUUCAGUGACUCGGACUCUUCCUCUUUUGGCAUGAGGGCCAGCAGAAGGAAGUCUGUGGCUCCACACACUCCCUGGUCUGUCAGGAACCAGCUGAAGCAGAACAUGGAGCACCGCCGACGGGCCGGCAAUGGUACCAAAAGCCCUGCAGCUAAGCGAGUUAGAUUAGUGGCUGGCUCUUCAGAUUCGCAGGACUGGUGCAGCCCCCCCAUCUUGCCCCUGGAGCCUUGUGAAUACUGGCUCCACGAGGACUGCAGCAUCUGGUCUGCAGGCGUGUUCCUGGUCAAGGGCAGAGUCUACGGGCUGGAGGAGGCUGUCAAAAUUGCCCAUGAGAUGAUGUGUUCAGGGUGUCAGCAUUCUGGUGCAACACUGGGCUGCAUCUUCAAAGGCUGUCCCAACAAGUACCACUACAGAUGUGCUCUGGAGGCAGACUGCAUGCUCAUUGAAGAAAAUUUCUCCAUGAAGUGCAAAAAGCACAAGAACAAGACGUUGAAAGCCCCUCUAGGGAACCAGUGGAAUGGCAGGUGACACCGACCCUCUGUAGGGUAAGAUGUGAGACAGACUCCAGGAGGUCUCAGUGUCUUAUUGAUUUGUUGAAAGCAGCUUUCUAGGGCCUCCUCCUGUAACCAUGGUAACAGCUAUCAGCCACAAACCUUAACUGGAGGCCCUGCUCUUCAGCUGCACCAUCACCACAAAGCCUCCUCGCUCCCGCCUGCCGGCUCUCUGCAGAAGCACCUUUGGAUUCAUCUUCCACUGGGUUAUUUAUAUGACAUCCUUUUUUUUCUUGGAUUAGAUAAGAAAUAAAAAUCAGAUGUUUAAUUUUGUAAAGAUUUUCUAAUGAAUUACAUUAAGCUUAUUUAUUCUUGAA
Oryzias melastigma (Indian medaka) is the source of this 3403-nucleotide RNA transcript. It is a transcript of the gene named retinoic acid-induced protein 1, with no coding region annotated. The record is from RefSeq and is a predicted model, not a curated record. NCBI's taxonomy places the organism in Eukaryota, Metazoa, Chordata, Actinopteri, Beloniformes, Adrianichthyidae. The transcript has 7 exons.